CACACCCUGGCUUCUGCCGGACCAUCUUCCUUCUCUUCCCCCUCCGGGACUAGAGGAGGCCACGCGCGGCCUCUCCGAUCUCAAGGGUCCUUUUAUGUAGCACAGUCAGGCCUGGGAACAGAACUUCCUGUGAUUGUAAAAAGUCUCAGGUGCGUCCUCGUUGUUUUAGAGACUUGGAGAGGAAAGAAAAGUCGGGGCUUCUAGGACGCCUACUACGCCAAACAGACCAAAACCAGGACGGGAGGACUGAAGAUGAAGCCAGCAAAAAGUCAUCAGCCAUGGCUGUUGUACGGUGUGCGUCACCUCUCCUGCUAAGUCUUCAUCCCUGUCUACGAGGACAAAGAAGUUGAGGGGUAAGCUGGCGAUGGGCCUGCCUGUCCUUGAAGAUGCUCUUAAGUUCCAGGGAAUCUGAUGCCGCCUUCUAACCACCACGAAGACAAGUUGGUGAUAGAAAACGGGAAAACUGAAGACAGCCACUUUAUAAAACCCUUGUCUGCUUGAAUUUGUGCUGAUGGUCUUGGCCAAAAGGCUGCCAACAAUUCAGCCUAUAAAGUCUUUUUCAGAAUAUGGUGAAUUACUUGGGUGAUUAGAAGAUGAACCAAAG
This is a long non-coding RNA of Mus pahari (shrew mouse), 604 nucleotides long. RefSeq lists it as uncharacterized. The record is from RefSeq and is a predicted model, not a curated record. Lineage: Eukaryota; Metazoa; Chordata; Mammalia; Rodentia; Muridae. The transcript is spliced from 5 exons.